GGUGUUGCGGAAGAUGCUCUGCUCGGCGGCGGCGAGCGCCUGGCGCUCCUCGAGGUCCCUGCUUGCGGCGGAGACGGCGGAGGGCGGGAAGACGGCCUCCAUCAUGGCCUCGCAGUCCCUGACGAGCUCGGAGAUGAGGUCGGUGGUGAAGAAGGGCUGCUGCAGCACCCCCGCGAUGACGGGGAGCCGGAGCACGCCGCCGGUGCGCUUGUCGAACUUCUUGAGGAUCUUGGCGAGCCCCGUGUAGUUGAUGCUGCUGUAGUUGAGGAGCAGCACCAUCUCGCCGUGGAAGUCGACGACCUCCCGCUGGAUGCGCGCCAUCUCGGCCUCCGCCGCCGGCGAAGGCUUGGCCUCGGCGGCGCGCUGGAUCCUCUCCUGCAGCUCCUGCAAAAAAAACCACGUUGGCAAUCCCUCGGUCAGUCGUGCAUUUCAAAGAAAAAGGAAAAACGAGAAGGAGGUAGAGAAAGAGAAGUGCACCCACCCUCUGCCUGAUGACGAACUCCUCCUCCUGCUCGAGGAAGAAGGCGUUGAACUUGUCGACCUCGGCGUUGAGGAGGGUGAGGAAGUCGGCCUCGGCGGCGGGGGUCGGCGCCGGGGAGGAGACGGCGUUGACGCGGCGCUUGAGCUCCUUGUAGUUGAGGAACUGGCUCCGCCACUCCGGCAGGCUCUCCUCGAUCUGCUUCUUGAGCCGCUUGCCGAACUUCAUCUUUCUUCUGAUCGCAAGAUUCCGAUUUUAUUUAUCCUUACAGAUAUAUCCGUCAGUAAUUAAGUGCUGGAUUGAGA
This 783-nucleotide long non-coding RNA is filed under the name Setaria italica (foxtail millet). RNAcentral describes it as "long non-coding RNA (SITA_LNC007112)". The record is from RNAcentral. Lineage: Eukaryota; Viridiplantae; Streptophyta; Magnoliopsida; Poales; Poaceae.